Molecule: transfer RNA, 74 nt
Filed under: Hibiscus syriacus
Lineage: Eukaryota; Viridiplantae; Streptophyta; Magnoliopsida; Malvales; Malvaceae
Also listed under: 1 other name
Description: tRNA-Gln
Rfam family: tRNA
About the family: Transfer RNA (tRNA) molecules are approximately 80 nucleotides in length. Their secondary structure includes four short double-helical elements and three loops (D, anti-codon, and T loops).
Source: RNAcentral
UUGGGGCGUGGCCAAGUGGUAAGGCAACGGGUUUUGGUCCCGCUAUCCGGAGGUUCGAAUCCUUCCGUCCCAGA